GACGAACGCUGGCGGCGUGCUUAACACAUGCAAGCCGAACGAUGAAGCCGGAGCUUGCUCUGGUGAAUUAGUGGCGAACGGGUGAGUAACACGUGAGUAACCUGCCCUUGACUCUGGGAUAACUGCUAGAAAUGGUAGCUAAUACCGGAUACGACCCUCGGAGGCAUCUUCAGGGGGUGGAAAGAAUUUCGGUCAAGGAUGGACUCGCAGCCUAUCAGCUAGUUGGUGAGGUAAUGGCUCACCAAGGCGACGACGGGUAGCCGGCCUGAGAGGGUGACCGGCCACACUGGGACUGAGACACGGCCCAGACUCCUACGGGAGGCAGCAGUGGGGAAUAUUGCACAAUGGGCGCAAGCCUGAUGCAGCAACGCCGCGUGAGGGAUGACGGCCUUCGGGUUGUAAACCUCUUUUAGUAGGGAAGAAGCGAAAGUGACGGUACCUGCAGAAAAAGCACCGGCUAACUACGUGCCAGCCGCCGCGGUAA
RNAcentral lists this ribosomal RNA (484 nucleotides) under uncultured bacterium. RNAcentral's name for it is "partial 16S ribosomal RNA". It matches the Rfam family "Bacterial small subunit ribosomal RNA", at positions 28 to 523 of the family's 1533-position model. The record is from RNAcentral.